CGGCAAUUUAGGAUUUAUUUUAUACUUUUAUGAUAAAUAACAAGUGUAGAUUGUAUCGUUUUUGCAGGGUCCUUAGGGAGGGUUCUAAAUCCAGUUGCAUGCUUCCAAAAUUCCCCUUAGAGUGAAUUACUCACUCUACUCUCUUGUCAGCUUUUGUCCACAGAAAAGCUUGUUCCUCAAGGAGUCAGCCCUGAGAUGCACUUCCCCUCAGGGGUACCCUGAGAGGCAUCCUGGCUCAAGGGGAGAUUGAGGGUGCAGUCCACUGUGGUCCCUGGAAAGCUCAAAGGGCUUAGGACUACUUAGUUGCUACUAAGCAACUAGUUGCUUAGGACUACCAUUCAUAGGACUGUGAGACAACUGUUAAUACUUUUCCAUCCUGGCUACUGUUCAGAUAAGGCAAUUUUGGUAUUUUUCAUCAAUUCUGCUAUUCCCAUACCUUCCAGAAUGUACAGUUGUGGUACUCCCCAGAUCAGGCUACUGUCCAGGCUGCAGGUUUGGAGAUGCAAUCAGGGAGUGCCUGCUCAUACUCACCUGUUAUGGACAUUGUCCAUUGACAAUGGAGGACUGAUGUAACAUUAAUCAAUCUUGAACCAUAGCUGACUUGGGGGAAAGGCUACCCCACCACAGAGAUCAAGGGUUACAGCCUGCUGUGAUCCCUGGAGAGCUCAAAUUGGCUUUUCUUCAGUUGCUACAAGUUCAGGUCAUUGGCUCAUAGUCAAACUCAGGUUCCUUACCAUGUUCUGGAACUCUGAUGUGCAAGAAGCAGUCCCAUCAAGGCCUACUGUGGUUUAUAAGCCUGAGCAAGACUUAGAUCAAGUGCGGGAGUAUAGUGAACCCAUCACAGAGCCAAUGCACCAAGCAGUAUCAGACCAACAGGUAGUCACAAUAAUGUUUGAUGCAUGAUGGAGAGUACCACAGGAUUUACAACUGUUACCAGAGCUGAACUCAGUACUCCAGGUGGGGUCUCUCAAGAGCAGAGUAGAGGGGAGAAUGAAGGUGAAGUCUGGAACAAAGAGCUUUCAAUAGAGAAAAAGAGAAGGGACACCAAAUUUUCACUGAUGCAUGAGUGCAUCUGAAGACAGAACUGAAUCCCCCAUUUCAGAGAACUUCAGCGGACUAGCAAUGUACAAAAAGUGGACAUGAUAGUUUUGUGUUGAACUGUGUGUAGCUAAGCUGAUGUAUUUUAGGUGGUCUUAAUAGACGCAAGUGAGAUGACAAUCUGUAAACACAAUGAAGAGUUAGAACCAUUGCUUAAUUUCACUGAUUUAGUCAUAAUAUUGGAUCAAGUAACUCAAAGGGUCAAAGUCUCUCUUCAGAGAGAAGCCGUAAUGGAUUCAGUGGUUUCCCUGGGCAAAAAUUAAUUUGGAUUAAGUUUGUAAAGCAAAUAUUGCCUGAGUAUAUGAAGAGACAUGUUCUGACACUUUCAUAUAGUAUGCAUUUGAAGAAAAUCAGUUAAUUCAUAACAAUUAUGAUAUAUUUUUGUACAUAAUAUUAGAUUGUAUAAAUAGGAGCACA
Molecule: long non-coding RNA, 1515 nt
Filed under: Anser brachyrhynchus (Pink-footed goose)
Lineage: Eukaryota; Metazoa; Chordata; Aves; Anseriformes; Anatidae
Description: lncRNA (ENSABRG00000016974.1)
Source: RNAcentral